Molecule: small nucleolar RNA, 67 nt
Organism: Equus asinus (donkey)
Lineage: Eukaryota; Metazoa; Chordata; Mammalia; Perissodactyla; Equidae
Gene: SNORD42
Rfam family: Small nucleolar RNA SNORD42
About the family: snoRNA U42 is found in intron 3 of the ribosomal protein L23a (RPL23a) gene in humans and is also present in mice. U42 is a member of the C/D class of snoRNA which contain C (UGAUGA) and D (CUGA) box motifs.
Source: Ensembl
GUGCACAUGAUGGAAAAAAUUAAACCACCUGAAAUUUGUGAUGUCUUCAAAGGAACCGCUGAUGCAC